AAGAAUGUUUCAAAAAGUCGGGCUCAGUGAUCAAUUAAUUUAAACAACAGACCGCCAAAAUUUAACCUUGGCCUCCAUGUUGCAACGUCUGCUCUGUCUAAAGGAGGAAGUUUGUUGACCAGACAGCCUGAGAUCGUAUUGCUGUAUCAACCAAAAGAUGCAGAUACACGUAUUUCAUAUGCGCGUCUGUGCAUGAGGAGAUUUCUGAAAAAGAAUAAGUGCUUGUUCAACUUACUGCGAUUUUAACGGGCUUAAAGCUUGGUCCAUGGAUGGUUAUGUUUGAGGAUUUGCCAAUUCGACCGCAAGUGCUGCUGCAAGAAAUUAUUAAAACAUGCAGAGACCUUACAAAUUACAAAGAAGUCUGAAGAAAAUUUUUAUUGGACAGAUGGGUGUAAAGCACAGACCUGAGAUAUAAAUUGAAUUGUGAGAAAUAUGAAUCAGGGAUGCAGGUAGAAAAUGGCAAAUGUGAUCCAGAUUGAUAAAAAAUGUCUAAAAAUUUUUCUUGUUUUGUAAAUAUUCAAUGCUAUGUCAAUUGUUAUUUUUUCCCAAAUAUCUAAUAGUGUUGAACAUUUCACUCCCACUUUUGCUUAAAUAGAAUGAAUAAAUUUCCAUUUAUUUAAUAUGAAUAUUAAAAAAUGCCACAUUUUUUCCAUGAUGAACUUGUGGCUUAAAUAAGAGUUCCAGUUUUUUUUCCAUACAUGCUCCUAUUUGUUUGUCAAAGAUAUAAGAUCCAAUACAUUGCUCAUGAACAUAAUGUGUAAUUUUGUUCAUUCAUUUAUAUCUUUUUUUCUCAUAAUGAUAUAAUAAAUUGUAUAUAAUUUU
Molecule: long non-coding RNA, 822 nt
Organism: Saccostrea cuccullata (small rock oyster)
Lineage: Eukaryota; Metazoa; Mollusca; Bivalvia; Ostreida; Ostreidae
Exons: 3
Source: RefSeq, a predicted model, not a curated record